GGAGGAGGCAAGCGUUAUCCGGAAUUAUUGGGGGGCGUAAAGAGUCCGUAGGGCGGGUUUAUCAAGUCUGGGGUCAAAGACCGGAGCUUAACUCCGGAACGGCCGUGGAAACUGAGAGACUAGAGACCGGUAGGGGUAGAGGGAAUUCCCAGUGUAGCGGUGAAAUGCGUAGAGAUUGGGAAGAACACCAGAGGCGAAGGCGCUCUACUGGGCCGGGACUGACACUGAGGGACGAAAGCUAGGGGAGCGAAAGGGAUUAGAUACCCCUGUAGUCCUAGCCGUAAACUAUGGAGACUAGGCGUGGCUUGUAUCGACCCGGGCCGUGCCGAAGCCAACGCGUUAAGUCUCCCGCCUGGGGAGUACGCACGCAAAGUGUG
RNAcentral lists this ribosomal RNA (377 nucleotides) under uncultured organism. Its description in RNAcentral is "partial 16S ribosomal RNA". It matches the Rfam family "Bacterial small subunit ribosomal RNA", at positions 527 to 896 of the family's 1533-position model. The record is from RNAcentral.